This 461-nucleotide ribosomal RNA is filed under the name uncultured bacterium. RNAcentral's name for it is "partial 16S ribosomal RNA". It matches the Rfam family "Bacterial small subunit ribosomal RNA", at positions 338 to 795 of the family's 1533-position model. The record is from RNAcentral.
CCUACGGGAGGCUGCAGUGAGGAAUAUUGGUCAAUGGGCGGAAGCCUGAACCAGCCAAGUAGCGUGCAGGAUGACGGCCCUACGGGUUGUAAACUGCUUUUAUACGGGAAUAACGCGCCUUACGUGUAGGGCUUUGCAUGUACCGUAUGAAUAAGGACCGGCUAAUUCCGUGCCAGCAGCCGCGGUAAUACGGAAGGUCCGGGCGUUAUCCGGAUUUAUUGGGUUUAAAGGGAGCGUAGGCCGCAUGUCAAGCGUGCUGUGAAAUGUCCGGGCUCAACGGGGUGAAGUGCCAUUGAUACUGCCUUGCUGGAAUGCGGAUGCCGUGGGAGGAAUGUGUGGUGUAGCGGUGAAAUGCAUAGAUAUCACACAGAACACCGAUUGCGAAGGCAUCUCACGAAUCCGCGAUUGACGCUGAUGCACGAAAGCGUGGGUAUCAAACAGGAUUAGAUACCCCGGUAGUC